GCUCUUUCCGCUCUCGUUGUAAGCGUUGUUUGAAGAUAACGAGACUGAUCUAAAAUGCGACGCUGAAAAUGCUACCAAUGAUGCAAAACAGCUCGGCAAUUCAAUUCAACAAGACUAAAAA
This 121-nucleotide ribosomal RNA is filed under the name Thalassiosira gravida. Its description in RNAcentral is "partial Trypanosomatid mitochondrial large subunit ribosomal RNA". Lineage: Eukaryota; Bacillariophyta; Thalassiosirophyceae; Thalassiosirales; Thalassiosiraceae. The record is from RNAcentral.